RNAcentral lists this non-coding RNA (29 nucleotides) under Mus musculus (house mouse). Lineage: Eukaryota; Metazoa; Chordata; Mammalia; Rodentia; Muridae. The record is from RNAcentral.
UGUAGAUUUAUGGAGUUUUCUUGUUGUGC